AUCACAGCAGUGGCCACUCAGCAGAAUCCAGGGGACUGCUUAAUGAGGGGUGAAGACAAUAUGGACUCGGAGAGGCGGCCGGUUGCCUUUUCACAGUUGUGUUGAGGAAGGGACUGGUGUCAGAAGGAACUGUUAAAAGUCAGAGUCCCUGCAUGCAGUCCUGGAUCCUUUAUUUGUUCAGUAGGAGACGCCCCAGAACCCCGAUGUCUGAGGUCAUGGAGUGUGCAUGCCCAAAGAGAACAGAAAUGAAGAUCUGGUUGCUCAUGAUUUUGGUGUCUUAGCUAAGGUUCUAUUUCGAAGUCCUCGAUUAGGAAGACCUGCAAAAUACCCAGCCAGCCAUUCCACUUCUCCUGCUAGCCCAGCUGACAUCCAGCCUGCCCUGGAAUCACAGGUGUCCCGCUAACAGAGCCACGGACCUUGAAUGGGCAUUUUCCUUCCUUUCCACCCUGGAGCUGAGAGGCUAGAACAUGAGAUUCUCUGUGCUAUCCAAUUUCCCCAAGUAGAAGACGUAUAUACCUUUGACCGCCUCUAAGUAUCUUUCUUUUGGGCAUCUUUUUUUCUUUCCCUUGAAUUAGGGGGGGUCGAAGUCACCUGAUGGGCUGAUCUUUUCAGCUGCUAACUUAAACUUUCCAUUUCCAGAAUGCACACAGAUCCUAGAUCAAGGCCUCCAGUGGAAUACUGCAGGUAUAAAUGACCAAGAAACUGCAGCCCUCAACUGAUCUGACAAGCCCAGGGUAGGACGAAGCUUGCUUUUUCUCCUCAAAAGUAUUCAAGCGUCCCUCAAGUUCUCAGCACAAGGGUGUCAAUGACUAUGUCACCCUUUAGCAAGCAGGCAAGUUGGGGAGUUGUUGUUGUUCUAGUGUGAUUAAAGGUAAAAUAAGGUGUGUGUGUGUGUGUGUGUGUGUGUGUGUGUGUGUAUGUGUGUGUGCAACCAGAGGCAAAGCCAUUGUUCUGCACCAUUAAGCUCACAGCAGCCCCCCAAAGAAAUUAUAGGCGGCUUGCCGAUGGCCCUAAUGAAGAGCAUCUCUUUGAAUUAUCUCUGGAUGAGUAAAGGAUCAAGCCAGAGCCUUAGAAUAUUUGAUCCUCUUUGUGCUGCCUGUUAUGAAGGCUUUACUGAAGCCAGACACCCCGGACUUUCUGGAACUGUAAUUUAUGGAAACCUUAAUUUCUCUGUUCUAAUAAGGUUUUGCAUAAUAAGGGUGAGGAUACAAUUACUAAUUCCUGCAAGAGUUUUGUGAAUUCCUCUGUGCUAUGGUUCGGGCGCCCGAAGAAUAGGCGGGAGAAGGGAUUUUACUUAGCUGGCACAAGGGAAGUGGGUCUGAGAAGUAGUUUGGGCUCCCUGAAAAUAAAUCUGCAUGGUUCCUUAAGCUGCUGACAACAUGCAUUUCAGGUGGAAGUCAUUUAUCAGCAGCUCACCAAAUGAUACUUCAGACAGAAAUAGCCCCACAAAAUUUUACCUAGUAAAAACCAAACUGAAUCCAGAUUCCUUCUUCUGGGACUGUAGUCUGGGCUUAAGAGCAUAAAUAAUAAGGUUGAAUGAAAAAUAGGUUGCCACAGAUUUGUUGUAGAUAUCAUAAAGUUGACUUUGGGAAGGGGCUCACUAUCAAAUGUAUAUGAAGUUCACCUAAAUGGAAGCUACAUGAUAGUUUUGGUGCCAAACCAAACCAAACCAGGAACAGAGUUUUGGAAAUGACCAUGUAACUUACUCCCUCUGCAGUAGCCAAGCCUAACCUAGCACACUGCUUAGCCAACAGGGUCUGGUACUCAGCUCAUUUCACUUUUAAAUUUUGGCUCAAAAAGAGAUCCCCCAGAUCAUCAGGUAAACUGAGGCUUUGAACAUCCCGCAUGAUGACAUGUGGGAUGGGGGCCAGAUCAUCAGUGGUGGCAGUACUGAUGCUCUCAGACAUCCCUAGACUGCUGGGAACAAGGCAUGCGUCCCACUAAGUCCUGACCAUGGGGUUGGAAGGCAAGGAUAUUUCUAACACUUAAGACACUUGUUUUUUAACAGGUGGGACAGUUCAAAAAACCUUAGAAUGCUUACACACUGACCCUUUAUAUGCCGUACUGCAGAGAGCAGGCAGACAUACAGACAGACACACCUUUUAUUCACCCAGUAGCAUCCCAGUAUCAUUAGGUUUUGCUCACAGACGCAAGUUCAGCUGCCUUGCUGUGUCUUGCUAGGGACACACGCCCUCUGGUGGCUCAUGUGAAAAUAACACGCAACUAACUGAUCAAAUUCCUUUUAAAGUCAAGCCUGGUUCUUUAAAAUGUAUUAAUUAGCCAUUUGUUGUUAUAAACAAGAAACCCACCCAUUUUUUUUUUUUUUUGCUUUCCAUCAUGUUAUUCUCCUAUUAUGAUU
RNAcentral lists this long non-coding RNA (2359 nucleotides) under Mus pahari (shrew mouse). RNAcentral describes it as "predicted gene, 43948 (MGP_PahariEiJ_G0002979.1)". Lineage: Eukaryota; Metazoa; Chordata; Mammalia; Rodentia; Muridae. The record is from RNAcentral.